UACGGAGGGAGCGAACGUUGUUCGGAUUUACUGGGCGUAAAGGGUGUGUAGGCGGUCUUGCAAGUCAGGGGUGAAAUCUCUCGGCUCGACCGAGAAACUGCCUUUGAGACUGCAGGACUUGAGGGCGUGAGAGGAGACUGGAAUUCCUAGUGUAGCGGUGAAAUGCAUAGAUAUUAGGAGGAACACCAGUGGCGAAGGCGGCAUCCUGGACCGGCAUUGACGCUGAGGAGCGAAAGCUAGGGGAGCAAACGGG
This 253-nucleotide ribosomal RNA is filed under the name uncultured bacterium. Its description in RNAcentral is "partial 16S ribosomal RNA". It matches the Rfam family "Bacterial small subunit ribosomal RNA", at positions 524 to 776 of the family's 1533-position model. The record is from RNAcentral.